GAAAGAUGAAAAGAACUUUGAAAAGAGAGUUAAACAGUACGUGAAAUUGUUGAAAGGGAAACGAUUGAAGCCAGUCGUACCUUCGGGUAAUCAGCCUUUCGGGUGCGAUUCUGUGGAGUUUGAGGAGCUUAACACCUUCAUGCUUUGCAUAUUCGUGCUCUUGGGUGUACUUGCUCGUNUGGUUGGUUAACAUCAAUUUUGGUGGUCAUAAAAUGACUGGAGGAAUGUAGCUUCGAUCUCGUAUUGAAGUGUUAUA
This 256-nucleotide ribosomal RNA is filed under the name uncultured Rhizophagus. RNAcentral describes it as "partial large subunit ribosomal RNA". It matches the Rfam family "Eukaryotic large subunit ribosomal RNA", at positions 359 to 630 of the family's 3401-position model. The record is from RNAcentral. Lineage: Eukaryota; Fungi; Glomeromycota; Glomeromycetes; Glomerales; Glomeraceae.